AUGUUGGUGGCUGGCGGCGACGACAAGGUCAUGGCCAACUGGCUUCCCAUGGCCCUCGCGGGCGUGCCGCGCGCCUGGCUACUCAGCUUGCCGGGAUCCUCUGUGGCUUCCUGGGAGGAGAUGCGCGGCCUCUUCAUCGCGCGCUUCGCGGCGCCGAUGCCCCACGCAGUCGCAGCCCUCGGUGGUUCGCAGGCGCCGCCCUUAGACCGCCACGUCAAGCAGUUCUUUCGCCAAGUGGGUGCCACCCGCGUGCAGCAAGGAGCUCCUCCAGGAUGGGCGGCGCCCAAGGCCGACCUCACCAUCGACUUAAGGGACCACCCGACGACCACCGCGGGCGCGGGCGCGCUCCUGAUGCUCCGCACCCCCACCAUCUGCAACGUGGCGGUAACCAAGACCCUCAUCGACAGGGGAGCCAUCCUCAAUGUGCUCUCCAUGGAAGCUUUCGGCCUGCUUCACGUGCCCCAUGGCCGGCUCCGCCCUACGAAGCCUUUCUCUAGGGUUGUCAACGGCCCCACCAGCCCUCUCGGGCAGAUCCGCCUCCCCGUCACCUUCAGCACCCGCGACAACUACCGCACCGAGCUUAUCGACUUCGACAUCACCCGCAUUGGCCUCCCGUACAAUGCCAUCCUCGGGUACCCGGCCCUCGCCAAGUUCAUGGCAGCAACUCAUCCUGCCUACAAUCUCAUGAUGAUGCCGGAGAGCAGCGGCGUCCUUACUGUGGCCGGAGACACCAAGGAAGCCUUGUUGGCCCUCAAGCUCGCCUUCAGAGCCGCGGCUGUCGUGCGGCCAAGUGAGGAAGGAGCCCCAGAGGCUCCGGGGGCUGCGCCAGCAAAGAAGAAGCAGCUGUUCUCUCAAGACGACGCCGAGAUGAAACAGGUAUCGGUAGAUGAGGACGGGGCAUCAGGCGCCACCUUCACCAUAGGUGCCGGCCUCCCUUCGGAUCAGGAGGAGGCGUUGGUCAGCUUCCUGUGCAAGAACAAAGAUGUGUUCGCAUGGGAGCCUAAGGAUCUGGUCAGGAUCCCGAGGGGGAUAAUCGAACACCACCUGAGGGUGUGCCCCAACGUGUGCCCGGCGAAGCAGAAGGUGCGGCGGGAGUCCACAGAGAAGCACUCGUUCAUCGUCCAAGAGACCCGCAAGCUGCAAGAUGCUGGUGUCAUUCGGGAGGUGCGGUACCCAGAAUGGUUAGCGAACCUGGUCGUCGUCCCCAAGAAGGGCGGAAAGGAGCGCAUGUGCGUCGACUUCACCAACCUCAACAAGGCCUGCCCUCAGGACCCCUUUCCACUCCCACGUAUCGAUCAGAUUGUCGACUUCACCGCCGAAUGCGACAUGCUAUGCUUCCUGGACGCCUUCUCAGGCUAUCAACAAAUCAAGAUGACGGUGCAAGAUGUUGAGAAGACGGCUUUCCUGACCCCAUGUGGGGUGUAUUGCUACACCUGCAUGCCGUUUGGGCUGCGUAACGCCGGAGCAACCUUUCAGGGGCUGAUGCACAUCGCUUUGGGCCAGCAGCUUGGGAGGAACGCCGAGGCCUAUAUCGACGACAUAGUGGUGAAGUCUCGGGAGGCAAGGACCCUCAUGGAGGACCUGGAAGAAACAUUCGCUAGUCUGCGCAAGGUGGACCUGCGGCUCAACCCGGAGAAAUGUGUGUUUGGCGUCCCCUCCGGCAAGCUGCUGGGCUUUCUGGUGUCACAUAGGAGAAUCGACGCAAACCCAGAGAAGGUCAAGGCGAUAGAAAGGAUGAGCCCGCCUCAGACUCUCAAGGAAAUGCAAAAGCUGGCAGGCUGUGUGACUUCGCUUGGGCGCUUCAUCUCCAAGUUGGGGGAGCGCGCCCUCCCAUUCUUCAAGCUGAUGAAAAAGAAGGGGUCGUUCGAAUGGACUCCAGAGGCUAACGCGGGAUUCCAAGACCUCAAGAGGUACCUCACCAGCCCGCCGGUGAUGGUGGCGUCGCGUCCUCUGGAGCCUUUGGUGCUUUACCUGUCCGCCACGCCUCACUUUGCCAACGCAGCGCUGGUGGCUGUCCGGGAGGAGCGCCAAGCCAAGGGCCUGCCACGCGACGCCGCGCACCCGGCCAAGGCGGCGUAG
RNAcentral lists this ribosomal RNA (2079 nucleotides) under Triticum aestivum (bread wheat). RNAcentral describes it as "partial small subunit ribosomal RNA". Lineage: Eukaryota; Viridiplantae; Streptophyta; Magnoliopsida; Poales; Poaceae. The record is from RNAcentral.